Molecule: ribosomal RNA, 254 nt
Filed under: uncultured bacterium
Lineage: Bacteria
Description: partial 16S ribosomal RNA
Rfam family: Bacterial small subunit ribosomal RNA
Source: RNAcentral
UACGGAGGGGGCUAGCGUUGUUCGGAAUUACUGGGCGUAAAGCGCACGUAGGCGGCUUUCUAAGUCGGGGGUGAAAUCCUGGAGCUCAACUCCAGAACUGCCUUCGAUACUGGAAAGCUCGAGUCCGGGAGAGGUGAGUGGAACUGCGAGUGUAGAGGUGAAAUUCGUAGAUAUUCGCAAGAACACCAGUGGCGAAGGCGGCUUACUGGUCCGGUUCUGACGCUGAGGCGCGAAAAGCGUGGGGAGCAAACAGG